RNAcentral lists this ribosomal RNA (446 nucleotides) under uncultured bacterium. RNAcentral describes it as "partial 16S ribosomal RNA". It matches the Rfam family "Bacterial small subunit ribosomal RNA", at positions 338 to 795 of the family's 1533-position model. The record is from RNAcentral.
CCUACGGGGGGCUGCAGUCGAGAAUCAUUCACAAUGGGGGAAACCCUGAUGGUGCGACGCCGCGUGGGGGAAUGAAGGUCUUCGGAUUGUAAACCCCUGUCAUGUGGGAGCAAAUUAAAAAGAUAGUACCCCAAGAGGAAGAGACGGCUAACUCUGUGCCAGCAGCCGCGGUAAUACAGAGGUCUCAAGCGUUGUUCGGAAUCACUGGGCGUAAAGCGUGCGUAGGCUGUUUCGUAAGUCGUGUGUGAAAGGCGCGGGCUCAACCCGCGGACGGCACAUGAUACUGCGAGACUAGAGUAAUGGAGAGGGAGCCGGAAUUCUCGGUGUAGCAGUGAAAUGCGUAGAUAUCGAGAGGAACACUCGUGGCGAAGGCGGGUUCCUGGACAUUAACUGACGCUGAGGCACGAAGGCCAGGGGAGCGAAAGGGAUUAGAUACCCUAGUAGUC